GACGAACGCUGGCGGCGUGCUUAACACAUGCAAGUCGAACGGAAUGGCCCUGCUUUUGUGGGGUGCUCGAGUGGCGAACGGGUGAGUAACACGUGAGUAACCUGCCCUUGACUUUGGGAUAACUUCAGGAAACUGGGGCUAAUACCGGAUAGGAGCUCCUGCUGCAUGGUGGGGGUUGGAAAGUUUCGGCGGUUGGGGAUGGACUCGCGGCUUAUCAGCUUGUUGGUGGGGUAGUGGCUUACCAAGGCUUUGACGGGUAGCCGGCCUGAGAGGGUGACCGGCCACAUUGGGACUGAGAUACGGCCCAGACUCCUACGGGAGGCAGCAGUGGGGAAUAUUGCACAAUGGGCGGAAGCCUGAUGCAGCAACGCCGCGUGCGGGAUGACGGCCUUCGGGUUGUAAACCGCUUUCGCCUGUGACGAAGCGUGAGUGACGGUAAUGGGUAAAGAAGCACCGGCUAACUACGUG
This 468-nucleotide ribosomal RNA is filed under the name uncultured bacterium. RNAcentral's name for it is "partial 16S ribosomal RNA". It matches the Rfam family "Bacterial small subunit ribosomal RNA", at positions 28 to 507 of the family's 1533-position model. The record is from RNAcentral.